RNAcentral lists this ribosomal RNA (365 nucleotides) under Clostridioides difficile. RNAcentral describes it as "bacterial LSU rRNA". It matches the Rfam family "Bacterial large subunit ribosomal RNA", at positions 1129 to 1500 of the family's 2925-position model. The record is from RNAcentral. Lineage: Bacteria; Bacillati; Bacillota; Clostridia; Peptostreptococcales; Peptostreptococcaceae.
AGUGCGUAAUAGCUCACUGGUCGAGUGAUCCUGCGCCGAAGAUUUCCGGGGCUAAAACUUACUACCGAAGCUACGGCAUCAGUAAUGAUGGGUAGGGGAGCUUCCCAUACGGGUUGAAGCAUGACCGUAAGGACAUGUGGACAGUAUGGGAGUGAGAAUGUUGGCAUGAGUAGCGAGAUGUGGGUGAGAAUCCCACAGGCCGUAAACCCAAGGUUUCCAGGGGAAGGUUCGUCCGCCAUGGGUUAGUCGGGACCUAAGCUGAGGCCGAAAGGCGUAGGUGAUGGACAACAGGUUGAUAUUCCUGUACUACCGAUAACCGUUUGAGAGAAGGGAUGACACAGUAGGAUAAGCUAAGCACACUGUUG